Dendrobium catenatum is the source of this 162-nucleotide small nuclear RNA. RefSeq annotates it as U1 spliceosomal RNA. The transcript has a single exon. The record is from RefSeq and is a predicted model, not a curated record. NCBI's taxonomy places the organism in Eukaryota, Viridiplantae, Streptophyta, Magnoliopsida, Asparagales, Orchidaceae.
AUACUUACCUGGACGGGGUCUUAACGGGUGAUCAGCAAUGCCUGUGGCCUAGAUUAGAGGUCUUCAUUGCACUUUGAAGAUGCUCUGAUCUACCAUCUGCCCAAGUGGCAGAGUGGACGUCAUAAUUUGUGUUAGGGGGGUUCGCGUACGCGCGGCCCCUAC